UACGGAGGGUGCAAGCGUUAUCCGGAAUCACUGGGUUUAAAGGGUGCGUAGGCGGCUUGGUAAGUCAGGGGUGAAAGCCCGCAGCUUAACUGCGGAACUGCCUUUGAUACUGCCGAGCUUGAAAGAGGUUGAGGUCAGCGGAACGUGACAUGUAGCGGUGAAAUGCAUAGAUAUGUCACAGAACACCAAUUGCGAAGGCAGCUGGCUGGACCUACUUUGACGCUGAGGCACGAAAGCGUGGGGAGCGAACAGG
Molecule: ribosomal RNA, 253 nt
Filed under: uncultured bacterium
Lineage: Bacteria
Description: partial 16S ribosomal RNA
Rfam family: Bacterial small subunit ribosomal RNA
Source: RNAcentral